RNAcentral lists this unclassified non-coding RNA (345 nucleotides) under soil metagenome. Its description in RNAcentral is "partial contains 5.8S ribosomal RNA, internal transcribed spacer 2, and large subunit ribosomal RNA". The stretch from base 1 to 120 matches the Rfam family "5.8S ribosomal RNA", at positions 35 to 154 of the family's 154-position model. The record is from RNAcentral.
GAUGAAGAACGCAGUGAAAUGCGAUAAGUAAUGUGAAUUGCAGAAUUCAGUGAAUCAUCGAAUCUUUGAACGCACAUUGCGCCCCCUGGUAUUCCGGGGGGCAUGCCUGUCCGAGCGUCAUUGCUGCCCUCAAGCACGGCUUGUGUGUUGGGCCUCCGUCCUCCUCCCGGGGGACGGGCCCGAAAGGCAGCGGCGGCACCGCGUCCGGUCCUCGAGCGUAUGGGGCUUCGUCACCCGCUCUUGUAGGCCCGGCCGGCGCUUGCCGACACAUCAAUCUUUUUUCCAGGUUGACCUCGGAUCAGGUAGGGAUACCCGCUGAACUUAAGCAUAUCAAUAAGCGGAGGA